RNAcentral lists this ribosomal RNA (253 nucleotides) under uncultured bacterium. RNAcentral's name for it is "partial 16S ribosomal RNA". It matches the Rfam family "Bacterial small subunit ribosomal RNA", at positions 524 to 776 of the family's 1533-position model. The record is from RNAcentral.
UACGUAGGGUGCGAGCGUUGUCCGGAAUUAUUGGGCGUAAAGAGCUUGUAGGCGGUCUGUCGCGUCUGCUGUGAAAAUCCGGGGCUCAACCCCGGACUUGCAGUGGGUACGGGCAGACUAGAGUGUGGUAGGGGAGACUGGAAUUCCUGGUGUAGCGGUGAAAUGCGCAGAUAUCGGGAGGAACACCUGAGGCGAAGGCGGGCUACUGGGCCGAUACUGACGCUGAUGCGCGAAAGCCAGGGGAGCGAACGGG